GCGCCGAUAGUUUAACGGUAAAAUUUCCGUCUCCAAAACGGAAGACUGGGGGUUCGAUUCCCUCUCGGCGUG
RNAcentral lists this transfer RNA (72 nucleotides) under Chloroflexota bacterium. Its description in RNAcentral is "Chloroflexi bacterium (freshwater metagenome) tRNA-Trp". It matches the Rfam family "tRNA". Rfam says of the family: Transfer RNA (tRNA) molecules are approximately 80 nucleotides in length. Their secondary structure includes four short double-helical elements and three loops (D, anti-codon, and T loops). Lineage: Bacteria; Bacillati; Chloroflexota. The record is from RNAcentral.